CGAGGAGUUUUUGUAUUCGUACGAAGACUCCUAGUGGCGAACGGGUGAGUAACGCGUUGGUGACCUGCCCCGAAGAAAGGGACAACUCCGGGAAACUGGAGCUAAUACCUUAUGUGAUCUCAGAGGUUAGAGUCUUUGAGAUUAAAGGACCUCGGUCCACUUCGGGAGGGGCCUGCGUCCCAUCAGCUAGUUGGUAGGGUAAUGGCCUACCAAGGCAAAGACGGGUAGGGGGCCUGAGAGGGUGGCCCCCCACACUGGCACUGAAACACGGGCCAGACACCUACGGGUGGCAGCAGUAGGGAAUAUUGCCCAAUGGACGAAAGUCUGAGGCAGCAACGCCGCGUGCACGAUGAAGGCCUUCGGGUUGUAAAGUGCUUUUCUGGAGGAAGAGAAAGGACUGUACUCCAGGAAUAAGGAUCGGCUAACUACGUGCCAGCAGCCGCGGUAACACGUAGGAUCCGAGCGUUAUCCGAAUUUACUGGGCGUAAAGCGCGUGUAGGCGGUUUAGUAAGUUGGAUGUGAAAGCUCCCGGCUCAACUGGGAGAGGCCGUUCAAAACUACUAAACUAGAGGACGGUAGAGGGAGGUGGAAUUCCCGGUGUAGUAGUGAAAUGCGUAGAU
Molecule: ribosomal RNA, 620 nt
Filed under: uncultured Chloroflexota bacterium
Lineage: Bacteria; Bacillati; Chloroflexota
Description: bacterial SSU rRNA
Rfam family: Bacterial small subunit ribosomal RNA
Source: RNAcentral